GAUGAACGCUGGCGGCGUGUCUAAUACAUGCAAGUCGAGCGAAUGGAUUAAGAGCUUGCUCUUAUGAAGUUAGCGGCGGACGGGUGAGUAACACGUGGGUAACCUGCCCAUAAGACUGGGAUAACUCCGGGAAACCGGGGCUAAUACCGGAUAACAUUUUGAACCGCAUGGUUCGAAAUUGAAAGGCGGCUUCGGCUGUCACUUAUGGAUGGACCCGCGUCGCAUUAGCUAGUUGGUGAGGUAACGGCUCACAAAGGCAACGAUGCGUAGCCGACCGGGGAGGGGGAGCGGCCACACUGGGACUGAGACACGGCCCAGACUCCUACGGGAGGCAGCAGGAGGGAAUGUUCCGCAAUGGACGAAAGUCUGACGGAGCAACGCCGCGUGAGUGAUGAAGGCUUUCGGGUCGUAAAACUCUGUUGUUAGGGAAGAACAAGUGCUAGUUGAACAAGCUGGCACCUUGACGGUACCUAACCAGAAAGCCACGGCUAACUACGUGCCAGCAGCCGCCGUAA
This 515-nucleotide ribosomal RNA is filed under the name uncultured bacterium. Its description in RNAcentral is "partial 16S ribosomal RNA". It matches the Rfam family "Bacterial small subunit ribosomal RNA", at positions 28 to 523 of the family's 1533-position model. The record is from RNAcentral.